RNAcentral lists this ribosomal RNA (1321 nucleotides) under metagenome. Its description in RNAcentral is "SSU rRNA". It matches the Rfam family "Eukaryotic small subunit ribosomal RNA", at positions 1 to 1360 of the family's 1831-position model. The record is from RNAcentral.
UCUGGUUGAUCCUGCCAGUAAUAUAUGCUUGUCUCAAAUAUUAAUCCAUGCAUGUCUAAGUAUAAAUAGUAUACCUUAAAACUGCAAAUGGCUCAUUAAAACAGUUAUAGUUUAUUUGAUAAUCAAACGCUACAUGGAUAACCGUGGUAAUUCUAGAGCUAAUACAUGCUGAUAACCCGGCGCAAGUCGCGGUUGUAUUUAUUAGAUAUUAAACCAAUAUGUUAAUAGCAUUUUGAAGGAAUUAUGGUAACUGAUCGAAUCCUCGCUUGUCGAGGAUAAAUCAUUCAAGUUUCUGCCCUAUCAGCUUUCGAUGGUAGUGUAUUGGACUACCAUGGCGAUUACGGGUAACGGAGAAUUAGUGUUCGAUUCCGGAGAGGGAGCCUGAGAAACGGCUACCACAUCUAAGGAAGGCAGCAGGAGCGUAAAUUACCCAAUGUCGACUCGAUGAGCGUAGUGACAAUACAUAACAAAGAGGGGAUUUCAUUAUCUUACUCUAUUGCAAUGAGGCAUGUUUAAUAACCUGUUCGAGCAACCAGUGAAGGGCAAGCCUGGUGCCAGCAGCCGCGGUAAUUCCAGCUUCACGAGUGUAUAUUUAAGUUGUUGCAGUUAAAAAGCUCGUAGUUGAACUUCUUUUUGUUCAGAAGGCGUGCAAGCGCAGUCUGGGCGAAAAUCCGCCUGAAAAAUCAUUCGGGUCUUCACUGAUUCAGUGAUGGAUCAGGCAUUUUACUUUGAAAAAAUUAGAGUGUUCAAAGCAGGCUCACGCCUGAAUACAUUAGCAUGGAAUAAUAGAAUAGGACGCUGUUCAAUUUGUUGGUUAUUGAAUUGCGUAAUGAUUAAUAGGGACAGUUGGGGGCAUUUGUAUUUAAUUGUCAGAGGUGAAAUUCUUGGAUUUAUUAAAGACAAACUUAUGCGAAAGCAUUUGCCAAGGAUGUUUUCAUUAAUCAAGAACGAAAGUUAGAGGAUCAAAGACGAUCAGAUACCGUCCUAGUUUUAACUAUAAACUAUGCCGACUCGGUCUCAGUCAAGUCUUCCUAACUUGAUUGGUGCCGUAUGAGAAAUCAAAGUCUUUGGGUUCCGGGGGGAGUAUGGUCGCAAGGUUGAAACUUAAAGGAAUAGACGGAACAUCACUGCCAGGUGUGGAUCCUGCGGCUUAAUUUGACUCAACACGGGGAAACUUACCAGCGCAAAACAAGGGUGGGAUUGACAGAUUGAGAGCUCUUUCUUGAUUCUUUGGAUAGUGGUGCAUGGCCGUUCUUAGUUGGUGGAGUGAUUUGUCUGCUUAAUUGCGUUAACGAACGAGACCUCAACCUACUUACUAGAC